CAGGGAAGAGAACGAUUAGCCAGUACAGAACAAUAUGGAGGAUUGGAUCAACUUGUCUUCAGUCCGAAUCUGCAGUUAGAGAAUGUUUAUUUACAAAGCUUGACACUUCACUUUCCAACCUGGAGAUCAAGUGCUCAGGACCUGUCAGGCUGGUUAAUGGACUAGUCCAUGUUCGGCAGACUGGAGGUGAAGUCUAACCAGUCGUGGUCCUCAAUGUGUGAAGAUGACUUUGACCAGCAGGAUGCAGAAGUGGUCUGCAGGGAGCUUGGCUGUGGGCUCCUUCAGUCCUCCAGGGGGCGCUGUAUGGAGAAGCAGGGCCCCCAGUGUGGUCAAAAGAGUUCCAGUGUGGAGGCCAUGAGUCUGCUCUCCGGGACUGUGGAAGCUCAGGCUCAGCUAGAGACACCUGCUCAUCUGGCAAGCUGUUGAACUCACAUGUUCAGAGCCUGAUGACGUCCGGUUGGUUGGAGGGGCCAGCCGCUGUGUCGGUAGACUUGAGAUGAAACGGAAGGGAGAGUGGAGACCAGUAGCUGAGUACUUCCUUAACUGGAACCUGUUGUCCGCAGCUUUAGUUGUAGGCAGCUGGACUGUGGCUCUGCUCUUUCAGCAGAAAGAGUUAUAAGUGAUGAAUUAUACAAACGAGAACCAUGGAUAAUUGCACCUUCCUGUGGUUCGUCUGAGUCUGUAAUCAGAGAAUGUGAUUUAUUAUCGCUCGGGUAUGGUUCUAAUAGAAGGGUUCUAAGCCUGGAAGUCACCUGCUCAGAUAUUCUGGCUCAGCCAAACAUCUCCUUCUCUGCUACACUGACGGGGAUUCUGAGGCCAAGCAGCAGGGGCUUCAGGUGCUCAUGGGCUCCAACUUCACCAUCAGCUGCUCAUCCUGCCACAGUAUCCAGGAGGCUCCUUCCAGCUUAUCUUCACCAACUCCAACACAACACAGAACUACACCCUGCCAGCUGUCAAUCACACUGCCCAUUUCCUGUUCUCUGCUGCA
This is a long non-coding RNA of Micropterus salmoides (largemouth bass), 988 nucleotides long. RefSeq lists it as uncharacterized. Lineage: Eukaryota; Metazoa; Chordata; Actinopteri; Centrarchiformes; Centrarchidae. The record is from RefSeq and is a predicted model, not a curated record. The transcript is spliced from 4 exons.